RNAcentral lists this long non-coding RNA (1176 nucleotides) under Gallus gallus (chicken). RNAcentral describes it as "long non-coding RNA NONGGAT005672". Lineage: Eukaryota; Metazoa; Chordata; Aves; Galliformes; Phasianidae. The record is from RNAcentral.
CCCGGCACUGCCCAGAGCUGCGGGCGCCCCGUGGCCACGGAUGGACCCCGGCAGUACGAGCUGGGGGCAGCCAGCCCACGGCACGGGUUGGAACUAAAUCUCUGAGCUCCCUUCUGACAUAAACCAUCCUAUGAUUCUGCGGUGAGCAGCGCUGCCGUGGGCUCCCGACACCAAUCCUGCCGGCUCAGCACACCGGGCCACGAGCAGCACCGCCCCCGGGCCGCGCCGCUGCGCGGGUGGGAGAGGAGCGCACAGCGCUCUGGGAGCUGUAGUCCCCCCCCACACCCCUCCCCGCCGCCAUCUUGGCGCCCCCUGAACACCGCCCCCGCGGCGCUCCCCGGCCGCCAUCUUGGGUCGGGGGCGAAGCCGCCCUCAUGAGGCAGCGGCGAGGUGGAGGGUUUGCAUUUUGUACCAGUGAAAGCGUUGCUUUUAUUUAGAAUUGAAAGAGCUGAGAAUCCCUCACAAAAAGCAAGCUGAGCAGGCCUGGUGGUGCCUGUGAGGUUCUGGCUUUGCUUGUGGGUGUUGUGAGGUGUUUGCCUCAUGUCAGUUCUGUAUCAAGCUUAGGUUAAUGAAGGCCUUUGGUCGUCGUCAGCUCCCCCCACCCCCUGAGGACCCAAAUAAGGAGAUGAUGGAGUGGCGAGGAUUCCUCUAGUGAGUCUGUUCCAGCUCAUUCCUUACAAAGGCUGCGUGUGAAAGAUAGAGGCCCACAGAUCUGGGUUUUGUCCAGGGGUCUCCAGGUUUAAAGCUCCCCACAGCCGCUUCAGCUCAGUUUCCCUGUGACUCGGCUGGGCACGACUUCUUUCUCUGCCCCAAAAACAUAAAGCUUUUCUCUUCAGAACUUUUUUGGUUGCGUGACAAACUCAGCCUAUCCUUUAGCAAAAAUGGAAGCUAUCAAGAAAAAGAUGCAGAUGUUGAAGCUGGACAAGGAGAAUGCAAUUGAUAGAGCAGAGCAGGCUGAAACGGAUAAGAAGGCAGCUGAGGACAAAUGCAAACAGGCAAGUAGAAAUCAAAUCACUGAUUGUGCACGUGUUGUGGAAAUCGGUGUAAUGAAGUACUAUGCUGCACUCUGAUUCAGAAAACAUCAUUUGAAUUGGAGUUUCCCAUUAAUCUGUUUUGAAUCUUUUGCCUAUUUAUGAUGUUAAACUCGUACAGCCACUGCUAGGUAUUAAUAAUCUU